Molecule: long non-coding RNA, 734 nt
Organism: Trifolium pratense (red clover)
Lineage: Eukaryota; Viridiplantae; Streptophyta; Magnoliopsida; Fabales; Fabaceae
Exons: 3
Source: RefSeq, a predicted model, not a curated record
AACCAAUCUCUCAUUUCUCUCUUCUUUCUCUCACUUUUUUCUAUCUAAAGUUUAUUAUCUUCUGUAUUUUCUAAUCUCAAUUUUAUAUUCAUGUCAUUUUGCAGGAAAGUUAUGUUUUUUUGUUAAGAACAACAACAGAGCAACAUAGUUAUUUUCUUCUUGAUCAAACUAAUUUUUUCUUUGUUGAUUUACUAUUUGAAUGUUUUAUUAUCUUCAUAUAAUCUUCAAUCACUUUCAAUGUUUGCUUCAGAUGCAUCAUCUUCAUCUAAUCGCAAGCGAAAAGUUUAAAGCUCACCAUAACAAGUGGAUCUGGAUAAAUAAGUGAUGGAAGUGGAGAAGAAGUUGAGCACUUUGGUGCAAAGAUCUUGAAAUAAAAAGGUCCAAAAAGAGCUUACAUGAUCACUGUUACAGAUCUGACCAUAAAUUCCAUGGAUGAGCUUGAAGAUGACGAAAAGUGAUAUAUUUUUCGGCGGAACACAUGUAAGGAGGAAAAAAAAGAUGAGAGGAAGAUAUUGAUAGUAUUAGUGUGGCCAUUUGAGACACCAAAGAUACGGCUAGAGUUUGGGUUGUGGAUACAAAGUUAACAAAAAUUAUAGAAAGUGAAAAUUGAGAAGUUAGAGAAAGAGAAUUAAUUGAAAAGGAAAGAGACAAUGAAAUCAUACGGAUUUCAAUGUGAUAACUCAUGGACUUCAAACCAAAAUUGAAUUAAGUUAAUUUUAAUUUUUUAAUAAAUA